Molecule: ribosomal RNA, 803 nt
Filed under: uncultured eukaryote
Lineage: Eukaryota
Description: eukaryotic LSU rRNA
Rfam family: 5.8S ribosomal RNA (bases 210-365)
Source: RNAcentral
AAGUCGUAACAAGGUUUCCGUAGGUGAACCUGCGGAAGGAUCAUUACCAAAUUUUCCCAUUGCCAUUUGACACCGUGUGUGAACUGGAUCUGUGCUCGCUUUGGCUGCUGGUGACGGCGGCCGAGCGUGUUCAACCCCAUUGUCCAUCUUUUUUUGCAUUCUUUUUAUGUUGAGAGCUUUUCGAGGCUCUUGUUUUGAAUUGGAAAUACAACUUUUAACGGUGGAUCUCUUGGCUCGCGCAUCGAUGAAGAACGCAGCAAACUGCGAUACGUAGUGUGAAUUGCAGAUACAGUGAAUCAUCGAAUCUUUGUACGCAACUGGCGCUCUCGGGUCCCAGUCCUGGGAGCAUGUCUGCUUGAGUAUCAUUUUGCUUUAACUCGGCGUUUUGCCUGCUGUUUUUCGUUUCUUCGGGAAUGGAAGGGAGGGGGCGAUAGACGCUGGAUGUGAACGUUCACGUUUUUCUGUGAUCGUUUGUAAUGCAGGGCGAGGUUGGCACAUGUUUUUGCUGCUUCUGACGCCAAACUGCGAGUGGUGUUCCUCUCUGUCAGUUCUGGAUCAGCGAGUUGGUCAUUGUGUCGAUGGGGCCGAUAUCUGACGAAGCGCAUUUUGUUUUUGGUUUGCGGAUGAAGAAUGAAGAAAAAAACGCAACUGGAUCCAAAUUGUCUCUCUCCCUUAAGAGGGGAAGGGCGAUUUGAGUCGAGGUGGUCUGUUUUUUUCUGAUAUUCAACACCUGUCUGAUCGAAACAUCAAGGCGCUGCAUCAUCCAUGAUCUCAAGUCAGUCAAGACUACCCGCUGAACUUAA